CUGAUAGGAUAACGGGUAGCACGAUUGUGAGACAAGCUUGCGUAGAAGCUCGCUCUACAUCGUGUUACCCAAUGUCUCAUCGC
This is a non-coding RNA of Haemonchus contortus (barber pole worm), 83 nucleotides long. The record is from Rfam. NCBI's taxonomy places the organism in Eukaryota, Metazoa, Nematoda, Chromadorea, Rhabditida, Trichostrongylidae.